UGACUAAGAUGGGUUAAUUCAUUGCAAAUAGCGAAAUUGUAGUGAGGGGAAGUAAGUUAUAUAAGGGAGAAGAGGAGAUGGUGUUGGAGGUGAGGGAAAUAGGUGAAAGAUAAAAGGAUCAGCAAGAGAAGAGAUGUAGAAGAGGUGUUUGAAGAUGAGGAUUAUUUGGGUGAGAUUUGAAAAGGAGGAAGAAAUUACAUAAGAAGAUCAUUGGAAAGGGCAUUAAUUUUG
This 231-nucleotide long non-coding RNA is filed under the name Ananas comosus (pineapple). RNAcentral's name for it is "long non-coding RNA (ACOM_LNC030211)". The record is from RNAcentral. Lineage: Eukaryota; Viridiplantae; Streptophyta; Magnoliopsida; Poales; Bromeliaceae.